GCAGUUCGUGCGUGCGGCCUCGAAGGGUAUACUAAUAGAAGGGAUCACGUUUAUGGCCGUUGGGAUAGCCUCCCUGCACCAAAUCCAAAUCAUUAAGCACCCCCAGCUUAUGAUCAGCUGUGUCUGAUUGCCGAACGACAUUGUAGAAGUGGAACAGGGGCUCAUGCUCAAUCAUUUCUGAAAGCUAGUAUUAUAGAACAGGUGCACCUGUAACUUGUAGGCUGUUGGCAGAAAGGUCAGAAAAAGAGGGAAGGGAACAUGUGCUUAUCAUAUUGUCACGUCCCAACUUUCUUGGCAAGAUAGAAAAGCGAAACUGCCAAACUGCUACGCUAAUCAGAGAUCCCGGGAUAAUGUUCUUGUUCUUCAUGCGAGCAAACCCCCCAAGCAAAUGAAGCGAAGUCCCUGACGGGCAACUCGUUCGUGGAGACGCGCGCGCGCGCACCAAGCUGGCAAGCUGCAAGCACGAAGCCAUUGGUUGGAACGCCAUGACUCCAGGAGCUGUUGCAGCCUGCAGGUGCAGGGAGUCCAAAAGCACGUCAGAGUUCGGACUUCAGAGACCGGACAUUCCUUUUUAAUACAAUAGUGUUAUGUGAGCGUCUAGCACAGUGCCGUGUUCAGAGUUUAUACACCAGCAGUCUAGCUUGUUAUGUGAGCGUUGUAGCUCAUCAUAUUAUAAGAACGGAGCAUCUCGAAUAAAAUAGUGUUUGGUUUGAUUUGACGAGGACGUGUUCUUUACUUGUUAUAGGCCACAUGCCUAUAUAUACGACCGCUAAAAUAAAAGUGCACCAUCUCCAAUUAUCCAUCUGUUAACUGCAACUGCUCUAGCGUCGGUUUGGGGUCAGACGACCUCAUCCCGAUUGUUUUAUGCACGUUGACUCGAUCGGAAGGUUGCCCUACAGUAGCACAGUGUCGCCCACACGCAAGCAUAAACAACGGUACCGUACGCUUGUACGACACCUUACAUGGCAUACAUACCAUUCCAUACCAUGUCGUCUACACCGCUUUGUUAUACGAAUUGUUCCGGCGCCGCGCGUGCAGCGUAGUUUCACGCACGAUCUUUUCAGUCAUUCUACCGUGACCUGACCACCGGUGCUUCGUGCGCACUCUACUCUUUUGCUAGAAAAAUGCGGCGUAAUGAUGCUGGGAGCAACUUUGUUACGUCCGUGGCUAUCCGAACGGAUAGUAAAACACACCUAGACUUUCUUCACAAGGAUGGUAACAAUCACUCUACCGCUUUACGCCAGCAGCUUCCUACUUCGGAUAAGGCGAGUAGGCGACAAGGUAGAUAGCUGGGAAUCCCCCUUUUUAUCUUCCAGCCUAGUCGACCAGCGUGGGCAGCACAGUGCUUUGGAUCGAGAGGCUCCAACUAACGACACGCUACUUGCAUGUGAUCCCGGCUCACGAAUGACGAGCGGCGGCUAAAGCAACUUUCGUUAUUGGUUGUCGGUCCGUCCCUGCCGCUUCUCCGGCGGCCGGCGCCGGUCGCGCCGUCGUGUCACGCCGAGGGCCGCCACCCUUUGCCGUCCGUCUAGCUAGCACUGUCGUCGUCGCCGGCCUCAGGCGUCAGGCGUCGCGUGCUCACGCUGGCUUCUGGGUAGCGCGACAUGUGCGAAUAGGCCAAAGAUAGAAGCGACGACAGAUUCUGAAGCAACGGUAUCCGG
This 1661-nucleotide long non-coding RNA is filed under the name Setaria viridis. RNAcentral describes it as "long non-coding RNA (SVIR_LNC010152)". The record is from RNAcentral. Lineage: Eukaryota; Viridiplantae; Streptophyta; Magnoliopsida; Poales; Poaceae.